AUUGCACGCUGGCGGCAGGCCUGACACAUGCAAGUCGAACGAAGGGGCGGACGGGUGAGUAAUGACUAGGAAUCUGCCUGGCAGGGGGGGAUAACGUCCGACAACGGGCGCUAAUACCGCAUACUAUCAAGUGCGCCAAGGCCGGAUUAGCUUGUUGGUGGGGUAAAGGCCUACCAGGGCGACGAUCCGGAACUGGUCUGAGAGGAUGAUCAGUCAGACUGGAACUGAGACACGGUCCAGACUCCUACGGGAGGCAGCAGUGGGGAAUAUUGGACAAUGGGCGAAAGCCUGAUCCAGCCAUGCCGCGUGGGUGAAGAAGGUCUUCGGAUUGUAAAGCACGUUAAGUUGGGAGGCGUUACCAACAGAAUAAGCACCGGCUAACUUCGUGCCAGCCGCCGCGGUAAUUC
This 407-nucleotide ribosomal RNA is filed under the name uncultured bacterium. RNAcentral describes it as "partial 16S ribosomal RNA". It matches the Rfam family "Bacterial small subunit ribosomal RNA", at positions 30 to 526 of the family's 1533-position model. The record is from RNAcentral.